UAGAUUGAAGCCAGUUGUUUUGGGUUUUUAGCUGUUAACUAAAAUUUUGUGGGAUAAAAGCCCGCCGAUCUAG
Molecule: transfer RNA, 73 nt
Filed under: Melursus ursinus (sloth bear)
Lineage: Eukaryota; Metazoa; Chordata; Mammalia; Carnivora; Ursidae
Description: transfer RNA-Asn
Source: RNAcentral